CCCUUAGAUGUUCUGGGCCGCACGCGCGCUACACUGACGAAUGCAACGAGCUUAUAACCUUGGCCGAAAGGUCUGGGUAAUCUCCAAAUUUCGUCGUGAUGGGGAUAGAUUAUUGCAAUUAUUAAUCUUCAACGAGGAAUGCCUAGUAAGCGCAAGUCAUCAGCUUGCGUUGAUUACGUCCCUGCCCUUUGUACACACCGCCCGUCGCUCCUACCGAUUGAAUGGUCCGGUGAAGCGCUCGGACCGCGGCCUCUUGACGGUUCGCUGUCGAUUGGCUGUGGGAAGUUCGUUAAACCUUAUCAUUUAGAGGAAGGAGAAGUCGUAGCA
This 327-nucleotide ribosomal RNA is filed under the name uncultured eukaryote. RNAcentral describes it as "partial 18S ribosomal RNA". It matches the Rfam family "Eukaryotic small subunit ribosomal RNA", at positions 1470 to 1796 of the family's 1831-position model. The record is from RNAcentral.